This 2248-nucleotide long non-coding RNA is filed under the name Sorghum bicolor (sorghum). RNAcentral's name for it is "long non-coding RNA (SBIC_LNC007033)". Lineage: Eukaryota; Viridiplantae; Streptophyta; Magnoliopsida; Poales; Poaceae. The record is from RNAcentral.
AGGCCUUGUUUAGUUGUGAAUUUUUUUUGAAAUUUGCUACUGUAGCAUUUUUGUUUUUAUUUGACAAACAUUGUUCAAUUAUGGAGUAAUUAGGCUUAAAAGAUUCGUCUCGUGAUUUAUAGGUAAACUGUGCAAUUAGUUUUUGUUUUCAUCUAUAUUUAAUACUACAUGCAUUUGUCGUAAGAUUCGAUGUGAUGGGAAUCUUGAAAAGCUUUUUUUAAUUUUUGGUGCGACUAAACAAGGCCUUAAAUGUUUUUAUGAUGCAUAUGCCCGCACGCAAAGCUGCCGGUGUGGAAAAAAGUUCUCGCCUGUACACUUCUUUCCAAGCGUAGCGUGAGUAGUCUUGUCGCGUCCAAUCACUCGUACGCCCAUCGGUAAUGGCCAUGCUAGAGCAUUUGCAUUUGUAGCUCCAUGUUUGAAGCUUUAAGGUUUGUUUAGAUCUAAAAAGUUUUUGAAUUUUAAUAAUAUAGCAAUUUCAUUUAUAUUUUACAAAUAUUAUCUAAUUAUAGACUAACUAGACUCAAAAAAUUCGUUCUGUAAAUUAUAGACAAACUAUUCUAUUAGUUAUUUUUUAAUCUAUAUUUAAUGCACCAUGUAUUUACCGUAAGAUUCGAUGUAACGAAGAAUCUUGAAAAAUUUUGAAGAAUCUUAAAAAGUUUUUGGAUUUUGCAGUUAUUAAAGUUAGUACCGCGUAUGUUGUUUUCGUUCUAUUUGACAUUUAGUGUCUAAUUGUUAGUUAAGUUUUAAAGAUUCAUCUUAUAGGUUAUGUUAAUGUCUAGCUGUGUUUUUAGUUUCAUAAAUAUUUUAUAUUUAGUAUUGCAUAUAUGUGUCAAACAUUGUAGGUGUUAAAAAAACAGAAUCAACUAAACAUAGCCUAAACUUCCUUAUCAUAUCGGAUACUAAUUAGGAGUAUUCAACAUAAGAAAUUUAGUUUGUAAAAAAAAAACUGAUUCGCAACACAAAUCAAUUAAGCCUAACUAAACCAUAAUUAACCCAUGUGAUACUAAAAUGAACCUUUGUUAAUCAAUGUUUACAUAUAGUCUUUGUACAAGCAGGCUUAAAGCCUUUGGUGCAGAUCUAAAAUAAGAGGGAAACAAAAUAAUUUAUAAAAGAAAGCUCAAGAAAAUAAACAAAAAGAUAACAACAAAUUGAAGGAAGAUAGUAAUGAAUCUAUGGAAAAAAAUUGCAAAUAAAUUGAAGGACGAAAGGAAUGGAAUUUCCUACUAACCUGAUCAGCUUUGGUAAAUUAGACUAGAAUAACCCGAGAUAAAUAAUAUUGUGGAAGACAAGGAAAGUGUCUGUUAGGUAGGAGCAGAAAAUGCAAGGCAGAACACAAAAUCGAGAUGCCGGCAAGGUUUUGCUAAGUUUACAUAAAAUUACACAAAAUAUAAAAAACAGUGAGUAGAUGUAAAAAAUAAUUGAGAGAUGGAAGAAAAAAACUAGAACCGGAAGUCGAAUCAGGACAACGGCUUCUUUCUGCUAAGUUAGAUUAUAAAAAAUGAGAUAAGAAAUAUUGGGCAAGAGAAGGAGACGGAUCUGAAGGGAAAGCAAAAUCAUAAUCAAAAUCUUGCGCAAAUUCAAGAGGUGCAAAUCCUAUGCAGAAUCUAGAGGUGCAGGUGAAUCUCCAUAUAGUAGAUUCUAAAAAAAAUAGUUAGGAUAUGGAAUAUUAGAAUGCAGAGGGAAUGAGAGAUAGGAUAUCUAAGAGCCAUCGGUGCAAUUAAAAACGAACCAGACGUACAAACUACAAGCAGGUUAUAGCCUAAAUCAAUCACAAAGGAUUAAAAAAAGGUAUAGAGCAGAUCUAAAAUUAAUUAAAAGCACCAUCCAUAUGAACUAAAAGUAGACUACAGAUUUAGGAAAAAUAAAUGUAAUAAAAUGAGAGAGAGAAGUAUUGGAUCUUGCGGAAGAGAGUGAGUGAGAAAGAGGGAGAGGAGGAAGAGAGGAGAGAGAGAGGGAAGGAGAAGACAGAGGUAGAAGACUGAGUCGGAGGGAAAGAGAGAGAGUGAGAAAGAGGAAGAAGAUGAGUCGGAGGAAACUAGGAACAAGAGAUGUGGUAAUUGAAGGGAGGGAAUAGAGAAAAGAAACAACAAGAGUUUGGGAAUCAAACAGGGAAAGGAGUGGGAUUUGCUGGCAUUGACUUGCACGCAUCUUAAAGACCUACCGGCCACUAGAUAAGAGAUGCGGCUGCAGACCGUUGUGGAAAAACCGGGUUAGGCUAGAGACCAGAGUGAACAGAUAGAAAUAAAGG